UCGACCGGGGCAGUGAGUCACCUCCUCCGGGAGCGGGAGCGGGCAGUGUCACCUGUCCUGGACUGGGACUGGGUGAUGAGUCGGGACGGGCCUGAGGAAAGCUGCUGUAUUUAGAAAGCUGAACUUGGCAAACAAGGCCCCCGGCCUUCAACAGUGAAAAUCCAUCACAUUAGCCUGAAAACUACAGAUGUGGCCAUGAAGGGCUUCUACCCAGUUCACACACUCCAGCCUGCAUCCCAAAAGGAGAAAUGGAGGUCUUCUUGAGCACCAUCAAGCCAAGGUGACAGAUACAAUCUUCUGGCAAGGCACAAGGUAAUGAGGAGUAAGGAAAAUGAACUUCAUCAAGGUCCUGACGAAAUGUAUACAGCGCAGUCUUGCCAUAACCAACACCCUCAGAGAAAAUCACUAAGCCUAAUGGCAGCAUCCCAGCUGGCAUUCUCACCUGUCAGGAUAUGUUAUCAAAAACUGCAAGAUGUCUGCGUUAUGAAUACAUUAUAGGUACCAGUGAUAAUGGGGAGUGAUCACUGCCUAAUCCAGUGUCCCCAUCUCAAGGACACCAAAGGGUAAUUCCGUUAAGAUCCCUUAUUACAACCUGAUGAUCUUGAACCAAACUGAAGGCAUAAAGUGACCACCUGGCACAGAUUGCCCUUAAGUUCAGCAUAGUUAGCAACUAUGUAAAAACUCAUAUUUCCAGAAAUGCCAUAACUGGCUUAUUAAGACUGUUCAGGCCAUCCACAACUUGUUAAACAACAAGUAAACAAGGUAGAGUUAAGUAAAAGAUCAACAGUAAAGGAGUAGCUCAUAGUAUUUGAAGGACAAGGUGAAAAAGAAAGCUCAUGACCUAAAGAACAGAUGGUGGGUGAAAACAGCAGAGGAGAUCCAGCAGCUCGAUGAUAACCAUGACGUACAGAUUCGUCAGCACUGUGAAAAACAAAUAUCCAGCAGUACAUCCUACUGAGUGCCAGAAUUCAAAUGAACUUAUCAAGGUUUGGGAGGCACACUGGAAGGAAUUAUUUAAAGAACAACUUAACUAUGACUUUGUGCUGAAUGUGAAUAUUAUUGACUCAGUUCCAUAGCAAAUUUUCUGGCUGAGUCUGACCAGCAUCCCUGACAGGUAAGAACCCUAAGAAGUCACACUCCGACUGAAAAUAAAAAGAAGCAGGAGGCAUCACUGCUGAAGUUCUACAAUUUGUUCGAAAGGAACUUACGAAAUUCACAUAGUCACAACCUCAUUUCCCACACCUAGGAUAUGGUUGGGGAUGGCAUGGUGAGUUGGGGGGGGGGCACGGAUGUUCAAGAAGAUCUGAGAGACUCAGUAAUUAUAAUCAUAUUGAAAAGUAAAUAUAAGUCCAUUUGGGGUAACUACUUCUGUCAGCUAUGUGAAAAGUUAUUAUCAUGGCUCUCCAACACUCCUCUUCCCUGACCAAACAGUUGGUUUUGGAAUUAGAAACCAUAGAAAAACUACAGCACAGAAACAGGCCUUUUGGCCCUCCUUGGCUGUGCCGAACCAUUUUCUGCCUAGUCCCACUGACCUGCACACGGACCAUAUCCCUCCAUACACCUCCCAUCCAUGUAUCUGUCC
Molecule: long non-coding RNA, 1582 nt
Organism: Mobula hypostoma (lesser devil ray)
Lineage: Eukaryota; Metazoa; Chordata; Chondrichthyes; Myliobatiformes; Myliobatidae
Exons: 3
Source: RefSeq, a predicted model, not a curated record